RNAcentral lists this ribosomal RNA (142 nucleotides) under uncultured bacterium. RNAcentral's name for it is "partial 16S ribosomal RNA". It matches the Rfam family "Bacterial small subunit ribosomal RNA", at positions 355 to 507 of the family's 1533-position model. The record is from RNAcentral.
UGGGGAAUCUUGCGCAAUGGGCGAAAGCCUGACGCAGCGACGCCGCGUGGGGGAUGAAGGCCCUCGGGUUGUAAACCCCUUUCGGCAGGGACGAAGCCGCAAGGUGACGGUACCUGCAGAAGAAGCUCCGGCUAACUACGUG